RNAcentral lists this ribosomal RNA (253 nucleotides) under uncultured bacterium. RNAcentral's name for it is "partial 16S ribosomal RNA". It matches the Rfam family "Bacterial small subunit ribosomal RNA", at positions 524 to 776 of the family's 1533-position model. The record is from RNAcentral.
UACGUAGGGUGCAAGCGUUGUCCGGAAUUAUUGGGCGUAAAGAGCUCGUAGGCGGUUUGUUGCGUCGGCUGUGAAAUCCCGAGGCUCAACCUCGGGUCUGCAGUCGAUACGAGCAAACUAGAGUGUUGCAGGGGAGACUGGAAUUCCUGGUGUAGCGGUGAAAUGCGUAGAUAUCAAGUGGAACACCAGUGGCGAAGGCGAGUCUCUGGACAUUUCCUGACGCUGAGGCACGAAAGCCAGGGGAGCAAACGGG